This is a long non-coding RNA of Osmerus eperlanus (European smelt), 2037 nucleotides long. RefSeq lists it as uncharacterized. The record is from RefSeq and is a predicted model, not a curated record. Lineage: Eukaryota; Metazoa; Chordata; Actinopteri; Osmeriformes; Osmeridae. The transcript has 5 exons.
CAUGACUCAAUCAACACUAAUCUGGGUGUGAAUAGUUGAAUUAACAAAGCCACACUUGUUAAGAGGUGGAAAACUCCAAUCACUUGUUUCUGAAAGAUACUCCUUGAAGUUUUCCUACCUGUACCAGUGUGCACAUGAGGAUGAUGGCUCGUUGCUGUGGAGGCCCAAACCAUUUCAUGAUAUCACUUCCUGGAAGUGUGGCCCUGAAGGCCAUCAGCACCACUAUAGUCUUCCCCAGGACACAAGAGAUGCAGAGGACAAAGGUGAUCCCAAACGCUGUGUGGCGCAGCAUACAGGACCACUCAGAGGGCCGGCCGAUGAAGGCGAAUAUGAGGAGGACCAAGGUGGUGCAGAAGGACCCUGUCAGAGCCAGUGCCAGCAGCGUGACGCCCAUGGUGUCCGUACCACACAGUCAAAGCAGCAUACAGGCAGGUUGGGCUUGAUGGCCUUCCUGGUUCCUGGGAAGCAGCUGGAGCUACACACAGAGAGGGGAGCCUGACAGGCAGGGAGAACACCAACUACAGAGACGAUGUCCGUCUCCUGGAUCUGCAGCUUCCUCCUGCCCACGCUGACGGUCUGGUCGAACCUUCCCACCGUCACAUACUCCACCUGGCCGUCGGCCCGCGCCUGCCAGCUCACCAGGUCGUACAUGGCUACGGGGUCCCCGUUCUCGUCAAACUUGGUCUCCUCGUUGAACGCGUUGGUGUAGUCCACCUGCUUCAGUGCCAGUCCUUCCUACCUGCCAGGGCUGAAAGCUGUCUGUGUCUGGACAGGCCUGCAGAGGAAACGGCCCGCGGCCAGCCUCACAUCCCCUCAGGUCGUGCAGAGCGUGGGCGAUGGCGUACACAGCUUUGUACACGUUAUAGGAGAUCCUCAGCUGUGACACGUCAGAGUAGAUGUUCCUCACGGUGCCCAGGCUCUCCUUGCCUGAACACGGAGGGACGAUGGACCCUGUCGAGGAACGGCCAGAUCGACCCAGCGAUUAUACCUGCUUACUAGAUGGGGUUGAUGACUUACUUGAUGAUUAUAACUAGGUAGACCCCAGGGGCGUGAAUCUUUUGGUACCGCACAAUUCGAAUCGAUUCUUGGGUUCACGAUUCGAUUAAAAAUUGAUUCACGAUAAAUAAAUAAAAACUAUAAAAAAAAUAAUAAUAAUACCCCCCCAAAAAAAUCGACAUUUGUGUAUCGCUAGAAGACUGAAUCGCGAUUCGAAUGUGAAUCGAUUUUUUCCCCCACCCCUAGUAGACCCCCACGUGGCCUCCACUUUUACCCUGGCUCAGGCUGCAGCCAAACACAGCCUCCCAGAAGGGCCUGAGGAAGGGGUCCAGCUUGGCCUCGGCGCUGGAGGGAUGCAGGCGGAGCAGGAAGUCCUGGAGGCCUGGGAUGUGCGCCCGGCGAAUGGCGAAGCCCAAGGAGCCCAGCAGGAUGGACCGGUAACGGGGUGGCAUGGAGAGGACCGAGGCCGUGCUCCAGGCCUCGCUGGCCAGCCACUGGACCCCCGUCAGCCCCUGUCUGGAGACAGACUUUACUCAAACAACACGCGGAUCCAGUAAAAAUCGUCACCUAAUUUCUUUGACACUGUGGUCGAAUCGAGAACUCAAUGAGCUACUGUUCAGUGAUGAAAUGCACUGUGAUAUUGUGGUUGAGAUGUCGUGGUUAAAAUACAGAAGCCAUCCUUAGCUCUGAACUCUAAAAUACUGUUUGAAAUGUGCACUUCUAAUCCUUGAUAAUCUACUGUGCGGGUGUGCACGUGUGCUAAACAAAUAAAAUAUCCUAAAUAUAUAUUAAACAACAGGGUGCUGGGCUGACCUGAGCACCUCAUCGAACAGAGCUCCAGCAUCCUGCUCCAGGGCGAACACCAGGACCACCCCAGCCUUGGAGGCUCGGAUGUCAGCCACGAUGGUAGCCAUGGCAGCCUCUUCAUGGUUCUUGGGGAUGAUCUCAUGCAGAGCCACACAAGCCCCCAGCUUCUGUACCUGGUCACAUGGAUGGAGUAUGGAGGUUUAAUAUGAUUGGCUGUUAAAAAGAUUGUUUUCA